GGGUUGUGAGGUUAAGCGACUAAGCGUACACGGUGGAUGCCCUGGCAGUCAGAGGCGAUGAAGGACGUGCUAAUCUGCGAUAAGCGUCGGUAAGGUGAUAUGAACCGUUAUAACCGGCGAUUUCCGAAUGGGGAAACCCAGUGUGAUUCGUCACACUAUCAUUAACUGAAUCCAUAGGUUAAUGAGGCGAACCGGGGGAACUGAAACAUCUAAGUACCCCGAGGAAAAGAAAUCAACCGAGAUUCCCCCAGUAGCGGCGAGCGAACGGGGAGCAGCCCAGAGCCUGAAUCAGUGUGUGUGUUAGUGGAAGCGUCUGGAAAGGCGCGCGAUACAGGGUGACAGCCCCGUACACAAAAAUGCACAUGCUGUGAGCUCGAUGAGUAGGGCGGGACACGUGGUAUCCUGUCUGAAUAUGGGGGGACCAUCCUCCAAGGCUAAAUACUCCUGACUGACCGAUAGUGAACCAGUACCGUGAGGGAAAGGCGAAAAGAACCCCGGCGAGGGGAGUGAAAAAGAACCUGAAACCGUGUACGUACAAGCAGUGGGAGCACAGAGCAAUCUGUGUGACUGCGUACCUUUUGUAUAAUGGGUCAGCGACUUAUAUUCUGUAGCAAGGUUAACCGAAUAGGGGAGCCGAAGGGAAACCGAGUCUUAACUGGGCGUUAAGUUGCAGGGUAUAGACCCGAAACCCGGUGAUCUAGCCAUGGGCAGGUUGAAGGUUGGGUAACACUAACUGGAGGACCGAACCGACUAAUGUUGAAAAAUUAGCGGAUGACUUGUGGCUGGGGGUGAAAGGCCAAUCAAACCGGGAGAUAGCUGGUUCUCCCCGAAAGCUAUUUAGGUAGCGCCUCGUGAAUUCAUCUCCGGGGGUAGAGCACUGUUUCGGCAAGGGGGUCAUCCCGACUUACCAACCCGAUGCAAACUACGAAUACCGGAGAAUGUUAUCACGGGAGACACACGGCGGGUGCUAACGUCCGUCGUGAAGAGGGAAACAACCCAGACCGCCAGCUAAGGUCCCAAAGUCAUGGUUAAGUGGGAAACGAUGUGGGAAGGCCCAGACAGCCAGGAUGUUGGCUUAGAAGCAGCCAUCAUUUAAAGAAAGCGUAAUAGCUCACUGGUCGAGUCGGCCUGCGCGGAAGAUGUAACGGGGCUAAACCAUGCACCGAAGCUGCGGCAGCGACGCUUAUGCGUUGUUGGGUAGGGGAGCGUUCUGUAAGCCUGCGAAGGUGUGCUGUGAGGCAUGCUGGAGGUAUCAGAAGUGCGAAUGCUGACAUAAGUAACGAUAAAGCGGGUGAAAAGCCCGCUCGCCGGAAGACCAAGGGUUCCUGUCCAACGUUAAUCGGGGCAGGGUGAGUCGACCCCUAAGGCGAGGCCGAAAGGCGUAGUCGAUGGGAAACAGGUUAAUAUUCCUGUACUUGGUGUUACUGCGAAGGGGGGACGGAGAAGGCUAUGUUGGCCGGGCGACGGUUGUCCCGGUUUAAGCGUGUAGGCUGGUUUUCCAGGCAAAUCCGGAAAAUCAAGGCUGAGGCGUGAUGACGAGGCACUACGGUGCUGAAGCAACAAAUGCCCUGCUUCCAGGAAAAGCCUCUAAGCAUCAGGUAACAUCAAAUCGUACCCCAAACCGACACAGGUGGUCAGGUAGAGAAUACCAAGGCGCUUGAGAGAACUCGGGUGAAGGAACUAGGCAAAAUGGUGCCGUAACUUCGGGAGAAGGCACGCUGAUAUGUAGGUGAAGUCCCUCGCGGAUGGAGCUGAAAUCAGUCGAAGAUACCAGCUGGCUGCAACUGUUUAUUAAAAACACAGCACUGUGCAAACACGAAAGUGGACGUAUACGGUGUGACGCCUGCCCGGUGCCGGAAGGUUAAUUGAUGGGGUUAGCGCAAGCGAAGCUCUUGAUCGAAGCCCCGGUAAACGGCGGCCGUAACUAUAACGGUCCUAAGGUAGCGAAAUUCCUUGUCGGGUAAGUUCCGACCUGCACGAAUGGCGUAAUGAUGGCCAGGCUGUCUCCACCCGAGACUCAGUGAAAUUGAACUCGCUGUGAAGAUGCAGUGUACCCGCGGCAAGACGGAAAGACCCCGUGAACCUUUACUAUAGCUUGACACUGAACAUUGAGCCUUGAUGUGUAGGAUAGGUGGGAGGCUUUGAAGUGUGGACGCCAGUCUGCAUGGAGCCGACCUUGAAAUACCACCCUUUAAUGUUUGAUGUUCUAACGUUGACCCGUAAUCCGGGUUGCGGACAGUGUCUGGUGGGUAGUUUGACUGGGGCGGUCUCCUCCUAAAGAGUAACGGAGGAGCACGAAGGUUGGCUAAUCCUGGUCGGACAUCAGGAGGUUAGUGCAAUGGCAUAAGCCAGCUUGACUGCGAGCGUGACGGCGCGAGCAGGUGCGAAAGCAGGUCAUAGUGAUCCGGUGGUUCUGAAUGGAAGGGCCAUCGCUCAACGGAUAAAAGGUACUCCGGGGAUAACAGGCUGAUACCGCCCAAGAGUUCAUAUCGACGGCGGUGUUUGGCACCUCGAUGUCGGCUCAUCACAUCCUGGGGCUGAAGUAGGUCCCAAGGGUAUGGCUGUUCGCCAUUUAAAGUGGUACGCGAGCUGGGUUUAGAACGUCGUGAGACAGUUCGGUCCCUAUCUGCCGUGGGCGCUGGAGAAUUGAGGGGGGCUGCUCCUAGUACGAGAGGACCGGAGUGGACGCAUCACUGGUGUUCGGGUUGUCAUGCCAAUGGCACUGCCCGGUAGCUAAAUGCGGAAGAGAUAAGUGCUGAAAGCAUCUAAGCACGAAACUUGCCCCGAGAUGAGUUCUCCCUGACUCCUUGAGAGUCCUGAAGGAACGUUGAAGACGACGACGUUGAUAGGCCGGGUGUGUAAGCGCAGCGAUGCGUUGAGCUAACCGGUACUAAUGAACCGUGAGGCUUAACCUUACAACGCCGAAG
RNAcentral lists this ribosomal RNA (2927 nucleotides) under Escherichia coli. RNAcentral's name for it is "23S ribosomal RNA". It matches the Rfam family "Bacterial large subunit ribosomal RNA". Lineage: Bacteria; Pseudomonadati; Pseudomonadota; Gammaproteobacteria; Enterobacterales; Enterobacteriaceae. The record is from RNAcentral.